AUGGAGCUUUAGACACCAAGGCAGCUUACGUUAAGCACCCCCGAUAAAGGACUAAACCAAGUAAGCCCUACCCUAAUGUCUUUGGUUGGGGCGACCGCGGGGAACUAAAUAACCCCCACGUGGAACGGGAGAACCCCCUCCUACAGCUAAGAGCUACAGCUCUAGUAAACAGAAUUUCUGACCAAUAAGAUCCGGCAAUGCCGAUCAACGGACCA
Molecule: ribosomal RNA, 215 nt
Filed under: Aptocyclus ventricosus (smooth lumpsucker)
Lineage: Eukaryota; Metazoa; Chordata; Actinopteri; Perciformes; Cyclopteridae
Description: partial 16S ribosomal RNA
Source: RNAcentral